RNAcentral lists this ribosomal RNA (253 nucleotides) under uncultured microorganism. RNAcentral's name for it is "partial small subunit ribosomal RNA". It matches the Rfam family "Bacterial small subunit ribosomal RNA", at positions 524 to 776 of the family's 1533-position model. The record is from RNAcentral.
UACGUAGGUGGCAAGCGUUGUCCAGAUUUACUGGGCGUAAAGGAUGCGUAGGCGGAUUUUUAAGUGAGAUGUGAAAUUCCCAGGCUUAACUUGGGAGCUGCAUUUCAAACUGGAAGUCUAGAGUGCGGGAGAGGAAAGUGGAAUUCCUAGUGUAGCGGUGAAAUGCGUAGAGAUUAGGAAGAACACCAGUGGCGAAGGCGACUUUCUGGACCGUAACUGACGCUGAGGCAUGAAAGCGUGGGUAGCAAACAGG